AUUUAAUUUCAUUUUUUCCUUAUUUCUCUACCUAAACCUACAGAAAUAUGCUACUUCCAGAUUGAACAUCUUUUUCAAUCCUAGUAAAAUAUGACAAAGUACAGAGAAGCCAAAAAAAUUUUGGAACAUCAAGCUCAUCAGAAAUGCUGCUUAUUGGCUGGGUGCGGUGGCUCACGCCUGUAAUCCCAGCAUUUGGGAGGCCAAGACUAACACCACAUCUACAGACACUGACCCUAGAUCACACCUCCAGGAGACAGGAGACGACAUCUUAACACUUUUCACCAUGCAUCCUCCUCUUGAAUCAGAGUGGACUAUUUGUAACUUUCACCAGAAAGCUGAACAAACCACCAACAGGAAUAAAGCAGAAAGAACUGCAUUUCAUUCCACAGACAGGAC
This 396-nucleotide long non-coding RNA is filed under the name Gorilla gorilla gorilla (western lowland gorilla). Its description in RNAcentral is "lncRNA (ENSGGOG00000044551.1)". The record is from RNAcentral. Lineage: Eukaryota; Metazoa; Chordata; Mammalia; Primates; Hominidae.